Molecule: transfer RNA, 74 nt
Filed under: Macrostomum lignano
Lineage: Eukaryota; Metazoa; Platyhelminthes; Macrostomidae
Rfam family: tRNA
About the family: Transfer RNA (tRNA) molecules are approximately 80 nucleotides in length. Their secondary structure includes four short double-helical elements and three loops (D, anti-codon, and T loops). Further hydrogen bonds mediate the characteristic L-shaped molecular structure. tRNAs have two regions of fundamental functional importance: the anti-codon, which is responsible for specific mRNA codon recognition, and the 3' end, to which the tRNAs corresponding amino acid is attached (by aminoacyl-tRNA synthetases). tRNAs cope with the degeneracy of the genetic code in two manners: having more than one tRNA (with a specific anti-codon) for a particular amino acid; and 'wobble' base-pairing, i.e. permitting non-standard base-pairing at the 3rd anti-codon position.
Source: Rfam by way of RNAcentral
GGCCGAGUAGCUCAGUUGGUUAGAGCGUCGUGCUGAUAACGCGAAGGUCGAGGGUUUGAGCCCCUCCCCGGCCA